CCGCCCGGGUACUACAAGCUAAAGCUUAAAACCCAAAGGACUUGACGGUGCCCCACAUCCACCUAGAGGAGCCUGUCCUAUAAUCGAUGAUCCACGUUUAACCUCACCACUUCUAGCCUCCCAGCCUGUAUACCUCCGUCGCCAGCUCACCGCAUGAGCGCCUAAUAGUGAGCAAGAUGGCCCUUUCGCCAAAACGUCAGGUCAAGGUGCAGCUAAUGAAGCGGGCAGAGAUGGGCUACAUUUUCUACUCUAGAAAACCACGAAAGACUGCGUGAAACCCCGUCAGAAGGAGGAUUUAGUAGUAAAGCAGAGAUCAAUGAGCUCUCUUUAACAAGGCACAGGGGCAUGU
RNAcentral lists this ribosomal RNA (349 nucleotides) under Pseudophryne guentheri (crawling toadlet). Its description in RNAcentral is "partial 12S ribosomal RNA". It matches the Rfam family "Bacterial small subunit ribosomal RNA", at positions 869 to 1384 of the family's 1533-position model. The record is from RNAcentral. Lineage: Eukaryota; Metazoa; Chordata; Amphibia; Anura; Myobatrachidae.